Molecule: ribosomal RNA, 497 nt
Filed under: uncultured bacterium
Lineage: Bacteria
Description: partial 16S ribosomal RNA
Rfam family: Bacterial small subunit ribosomal RNA
Source: RNAcentral
GAUGAACGCUGGCGGCGUGCCUAAUACAUGCAAGUCGAGCGAACAGACGAGGAGCUUGCUCCUCUGACGUUAGCGGCGGACGGGUGAGUAACACGUGGAUAACCUACCUAUAAGACUGGGAUAACUUCGGGAAACCGGAGCUAAUACCGGAUAAUAUAUUGAACCGCAUGGUUCAAUAGUGAAAGACGGUUUUGCUGUCACUUAUAGAUGGAUCCGCGCCGCAUUAGCUAGUUGGUAAGGUAACGGCUUACCAAGGCAACGAUGCGUAGCCGACCUGAGAGGGUGAUCGGCCACACUGGAACUGAGACACGGUCCAGACUACUACGGGAGGCAGCAGUAGGGAAUCUUCCGCAAUGGGCGAAAGCCUGACGGAGCAACGCCGCGUGAGUGAUGAAGGUCUUCGGAUCGUAAAACUCUGUUAUUAGGGAAGAACAAAUGUGUAAGUAACUAUGCACGUCUUGACGGUAACUAAUCAGAAAGCCACGGCUAACUACGUG